GAUGAACGCUGGCGGCGUGCUUAACACAUGCAAGUCGAACGAUGAAGCCCAGCUUGCUGGGUGGAUUAGUGGCGAACGGGUGAGUAACACGUGAGUAACCUGCCCUUAACUCUGGGAUAAGCCUGGGAAACUGGGUCUAAUACCGGAUAGGAGCGUCCACCGCAUGGUGGGUGUUGGAAAGAUUUAUCGGUUUUGGAUGGACUCGCGGCCUAUCAGCUUGUUGGUGAGGUAAUGGCUCACCAAGGCGACGACGGGUAGCCGGCCUGAGAGGGUGACCGGCGACACUGGGACUGAGACAAGGCCCAGACUCCUACGGGAGGCAGCGGUGGGGAAUAUUGCACAAUGGGCGCAAGCCUGAUGCAGCGACGCCGCGUGAGGGAUGACGGCCUUCGGGUUGUAAACCUCUUUCAGUAGGGAAGAAGCGAAAGUGACGGUACCUGCAGAAGAAGCACCGGCUAACUACGUG
RNAcentral lists this ribosomal RNA (466 nucleotides) under uncultured bacterium. Its description in RNAcentral is "partial 16S ribosomal RNA". It matches the Rfam family "Bacterial small subunit ribosomal RNA", at positions 28 to 507 of the family's 1533-position model. The record is from RNAcentral.